RNAcentral lists this non-coding RNA (29 nucleotides) under Rattus norvegicus (Norway rat). The record is from RNAcentral. Lineage: Eukaryota; Metazoa; Chordata; Mammalia; Rodentia; Muridae.
UACUUGAAGAUUUGAGAUGAUGUUGGGGU